GAUGAACGCUGGCGGCGUGCCUAAUACAUGCAAGUCGAGCGAACAGAUAAGGAGCUUGCUCCUUUGACGUUAGCGGCGGACGGGUGAGUAACACGUGGGUAACCUACCUAUAAGACUGGGAUAACUUCGGGAAACCGGAGCUAAUACCGGAUAACAUUUGGAACCGCAUGGUUCUAAAGUGAAAGAUGGUUUUGCUAUCACUUAUAGAUGGACCCGCGCCGUAUUAGCUAGUUGGUAAGGUAACGGCUUACCAAGGCGACGAUACGUAGCCGACCUGAGAGGGUGAUCGGCCACACUGGAACUGAGACACGGUCCAGACUCCUACGGGAGGCAGCAGUAGGGAAUCUUCCGCAAUGGGCGAAAGCCUGACGGAGCAACGCCGCGUGAGUGAUGAAGGGUUUCGGCUCGUAAAACUCUGUUAUUAGGGAAGAACAAAUGUGUAAGUAACUGUGCACAUCUUGACGGUACCUAAUCAGAAAGCCACGGCUAACUACGUGCCAGCCGCCGCCGUAACAC
This 516-nucleotide ribosomal RNA is filed under the name uncultured bacterium. RNAcentral's name for it is "bacterial SSU rRNA". It matches the Rfam family "Bacterial small subunit ribosomal RNA", at positions 28 to 526 of the family's 1533-position model. The record is from RNAcentral.